RNAcentral lists this ribosomal RNA (492 nucleotides) under uncultured bacterium. Its description in RNAcentral is "partial 16S ribosomal RNA". It matches the Rfam family "Bacterial small subunit ribosomal RNA", at positions 29 to 507 of the family's 1533-position model. The record is from RNAcentral.
AGUGAACGCUGGCGGUAGGCCUAACACAUGCAAGUCGAACGGCAGCACAGUAAGAGCUUGCUCUUACGGGUGGCGAGUGGCGGACGGGUGAGGAAUACAUCGGGAUCUACUUUUUCGUGGGGGAUAACGUAGGGAAACUUACGCUAAUACCGCAUACGACGUACGGGUGAAAGCAGGGGAUCUUCGGACCUUGCGCGAUUGAAUGAGCCGAUGUCGGAUUAGCUAGUUGGCGGGGUAAAGGCCCACCAAGGCGCCGAUCCGUAGCUGGUCUGGGAGGAUGAUCGGCGACACUGGAACUGAGACACGGUCCAGACUCCUACGAGAGGCAGCAGUGGGGAAUAUUGGACAAUGGGCGCAAGCCUGAUCCAGCCAUACCGCGUGGGUGAAGAAGGCCUUCGGGUUGUAAAGCCCUUUUGUUGGGAAAGAAAAGCAGCAGGUUAAUACCCCGCUGUUCUGACGGUACCCAAAGAAUAAGCACCGGCUAACUUCGUG